Halichondria panicea is the source of this 1602-nucleotide long non-coding RNA. RefSeq lists it as uncharacterized. The transcript has 6 exons. The record is from RefSeq and is a predicted model, not a curated record. NCBI's taxonomy places the organism in Eukaryota, Metazoa, Porifera, Demospongiae, Suberitida, Halichondriidae.
CUACGAUCAACACGUAGGAUUGGACGCCCAACAACAUUUUUCUCUGGCUCCAUCCAAAACCAUGUGCUCAACAUAAUUUCUGAAAGUACAGUCAUGGCUACAAAAUCUCUUGCAGAUAGGGAUUAUGAGGCAUCACUUUCAGAUGCAGAUGCUGACUUAUCAUCAGGUGACGAAGGUCUCACAGAGCUACUUGUAGCCACUAAAAAGAGGAGGCUCAAUGGAAAAAAACUUGGUGUGAGCCGGACAAACUGGAGUGGUACAGGAGCACAUGUGAAUUUAUGUGCCACCAUAAUUUAAGCGCCACGGUAGCAUCAGCAUAUAUUUUUAGGUCCUAAAAGGAGUUACUUGUUUUCUUGGAAUUAUUUUUCUGCCGCUUAUUGUUUGCAGCUAGCAUGAGCGUCUAUACUAGCACCAUAUUAUUUUCUGGCGCUGUAAUUACAUCAAUUACUGAAGGCCUCUUUUUAACUGUUUUUACGUAACCACAACCCCCCCUCCAUAGCUCCCCUCCAUAGCUCCUGAAGUAACACCCACCUCAACUCCACCUCAACUCCCAAUUCAAGGACCACCCGAAAUGUCUCUCAGGGUGAGUUUGUGCCAUUACCAAUUAUUUGGACGUUGCACAAACAAUUGGUAACCUGGAUCAUCUGCAAACACGCCUCGAACGCAUCACAGCCACACAAAGAAAUCUUGCAACAAAUCGUUCCCGUGAUUCUAAGGUUCUUAAGAGGUGCAUAAUAAUUAUGUUACUCACGUUAACCAGCAGAAAGUGAGUACUCCUGUAUCAAGUGAUGCUGCAGCAAAGAGAAAAAUACCGUCCGUUGUUAGAUCUGAAACGCGGAAAACUUACAAGAUGCUAGUGGAUGAUUGUGAAAGCUUCGAAGGAUUUUGUAUUGGACAUGAGUGAGUUACAUAUGCUUAAACUUGUUGCAUUUGCAUCCUGCAGAUUCACCUGGCGUAGCGAACAGAAUCAAGCUGCGCUUCUUACUGAAGUUCAAGCAAUAAAUAAUGGGCCUGUGACAUUCAAGGAAAAUUCCUUGUCUGUAAGGGGCAAGUCUGACGGGCGGAAAACAACACGGAGGAGAUGUGAGAGGAGUAGACGUAAACUCCAAGAACGCUUGAGUACAUUUCACAAAAAGAAAUGGUCUAGUGUUUUGGUGAUGGAGUUCAUUUCAAGUGGUGAUGAUGAAAAGAACCACGUAGAGUUGCCUUGGCGAGCCUCCCUGGUGAAUUGCAGAUCUAGACAGCGAACAUCUUUCUACAAAGUCUGCCCAGGCAAAACAGCAAACGAAGGACCGUGCAGUGGUAUCUUCUCGGCCACCGCCAGACCGUACAGGGUUACCUGCCUGGGCUUUAGUGUAACUACUGAACAUCAAACUGAACAUGUUUCUGCAAUCAUUUUUUUGUCGUUCCAUUAUAAAUUUUAUGUGAUUAUAAAUCAUAUAUAAUUCGUGGGGAUGAAACGUGAAACAACAAACAUGAUAUUGUUUUAGAGAUUUCAUGUGCAUGAAGGUGAAUCAACUAAUAGAAUUUCUGCUGCAAGAAACAUGAUAUUGUUUUAGAGAUUUCAUGUGCAUGAAAGGUGAAUCAACUGAUAGAAUUUCU